GCAAACACAACUGUGAGUGCUGCUGAAUAAUACAGGAGAACUCAUGAAACAUAAAUUACUCUCAUUGUCAGAACUUCCCCAGGAAUAAACACAGGUAACAGAAGAGAAAAGGCUGGUCCAUAUGGAGUCUGACUGACAAGCCAACGUGUCCUUAUGUAGUUAAACUGGUAUGUCAUCAUGUCAAGGUGUCAAUUUGUUGUCCUUUAAAACACAUAUGUUAAUAUGCAAGUACAGUUUUGUGAUUCUAAGUGUCACAGGCAACUGGAUGUGUUUCAGUUUCCUGAUAUGUGUCACCUUUCAUCCAAGAUGCAUCUUAGGUUUUAGCUAAAUGGAGGGGAGUUGCAGGCUUUUGUGUCCUCACAGAGUCGCUAAGGACACAUGUUAGCUGAGUUUCGAAGCGUUAAGCUGUCUAGACAGCUGUCUAGACCUGGGCUCAUCCUCCCCUACCAACCCACACGAAGACCAGAUGGGUCAACGAUCCACAAGUGGUCCUAACGACUGUGAAACUCUGUACACUUUGUAGUUUGUACAUCAGUGAAGCAGCAGAUUCUUCGAAUAAAUGAUGCUGACGAUGUGCCAUUUACUCAAUGACAUUCUUAUCAAUGCCACAGGCUAUCUUUGCCUUUGGAUUCUGCACUUCUGAGUCUUUCACACAUCCAGUAUUUUAUAAUGGAUUGUUUUAUCAUUCACAGCAUGGAUGGUUGACACGAAUCCCCUAUGGACUAAUUUGCCAAUUUUUUUCACAUUUAAAAAGGUGCAGUAUGCAAAAAUCCGCCAACUUGCAACUCCACACAAAUAGGGGGCAGUACAUUAGCAGAGUAACUGCUAACUGUAGCUGUCGUUAGCUAGCUGCCUCAGGCAGCUGUGCAGCUCUAGGUUUGUACUGGGAGCCUGGAGUGGUUUUACAUGUUUUAUCUUUUCUGUCUUCAACCUGCUGGAAGAGGCGUCGGGCAAUACUACGACGGUACCAGGCUCUGGGGAAGGCCAGGAUCUCGCUCAGUCGUCUCAUGUCGUACUUGAAGGAGGCCGAGCCAAUGUCACACACGGCUAAGGAAGAGAGUGUAACAUUUGUUCAGAGAAAUGCCCUCCCCUGGAGCUGAGGACAAACCUGAGAUGUUGAUGAGGGUGGUGUCCAUUUUUCCACCUUUGGCAGGAAUGAAGCUCUCAAUAAAGAAGACGGCUCCUCAUCAACUGUACCUUCCGGAAAAAGUUUUUCCUUUCUAUUUCCAUACCUAACGGCCCUGGGCCCGGAGGCAGGCCUGUGACAGCAGAUUUCUGCUUUCCGGCGCCGUAGGGGUGGAAGACGUAGAGGGAGAAGUCAGACAUGCAGGCAGUGAAGCUGAGCCCCGAGGAGACCUUUGCUGGGAGGCAGUUUGGGGACGUGUUGCCCAGGUGGAGUGGAGGAUGGGUGAGAGCCGUCAGUAGGAUGGGCCCCCGCUGGAGUCUCCAGUUCUCCCCGGUUAGAAGAAAAGACAAGAUCCAAAGAGGGCA
Long non-coding RNA from Acanthopagrus latus (yellowfin seabream), 1491 nucleotides. RefSeq lists it as uncharacterized. The transcript is spliced from 6 exons. The record is from RefSeq and is a predicted model, not a curated record. Lineage: Eukaryota; Metazoa; Chordata; Actinopteri; Spariformes; Sparidae.